This 449-nucleotide ribosomal RNA is filed under the name uncultured bacterium. Its description in RNAcentral is "partial 16S ribosomal RNA". It matches the Rfam family "Bacterial small subunit ribosomal RNA", at positions 354 to 796 of the family's 1533-position model. The record is from RNAcentral.
GUGGGGAAUUUUGGACAAUGGGGGCAACCCUGAUCCAGCAAUGCCGCGUGCAGGAAGAAGGCCUUCGGGUUGUAAACUGCUUUUGUACGGAACGAAACGGUCCUGGUUAAUACCUGGGGCUAAUGACGGUACCGUAAGAAUAAGCACCGGCUAACUACGUGCCAGCAGCCGCGGUAAUACGUAGGGUGCAAGCGUUAAUCGGAAUUACUGGGCGUAAAGCGUGCGCCAGCGGUUUUGUAAGACAGGCGUGAAAUCCCCGGGCGCAACCUGGAAAUGGCGCUUGUGACUGCAAGGCUGGAGUGCGGCAGAGGGGGAUGGAAUUCCGCGUGUAGCAGUGAAAUGCGUAGAUAUGCGGAGGAACACCGAUGGCGAAGGCAAUCCCCUGGGCCUGCACUGACGCUCAUGCACGAAAGCGUGGGGAGCAAACAGGAUUAGAUACCCUGGUGUCC